Long non-coding RNA from Notolabrus celidotus (New Zealand spotty), 2018 nucleotides. RefSeq lists it as uncharacterized. Lineage: Eukaryota; Metazoa; Chordata; Actinopteri; Labriformes; Labridae. The transcript is spliced from 2 exons. The record is from RefSeq and is a predicted model, not a curated record.
AGUAGCAUCCCCUGUUUCUGUGUGAGAACAUCUUCAACCUGCACAAUGUGUUCCACAUGGUUAUGCUAGAGUUUAAAAGACCUCAUCCUCUUUGUUUUUCUUGAAUAUUUCUUUGUUUAAUCUUCCACUGAAGGACUCUGUUACAGCUGGGCGUCCUCUGGUCAGAGGUGCCCUUGUAUUGUGAACAACAGCGAGACAGUGGGAGGAAUCGUGGACUGCUGAUCUUCGCAUGCCCUGCUGCUCCCUGCUGCAGGGACUCAGAUGCUCUGGCAUGAUGAUGAUGUCUUUGCCAUGGUUACAAACUGGAUGGAAAACAAAUCUAUUAUUUUUUUUCUACAAGACCGAUACUAAUCCAACCUUACUUACUGAAAGACGUUUGUUUUUUUUAAAGACAGGAAAGAAACAAACAUUUGUGCUUAUAACAAGGCAUGUCAGAAGGUUUGGACGACCAAUGACACACCUGUAUAUUUAAUCUAGCUUAUUUUAUUGCAGAGGAUUAACCUUGAGUGUGUUUCAAACAAAAUCCAUCUUUUAGGUAUUUCCAAGGCUGUGAAAUAGCUGACAGAAUACUGCAAGGUUAACAAAUUCAUGAUGACCUUUACUCCAACAGCUGAAGACCUUCCAGGGAGCAAAGGAGGCAGUAUGGAUUAAAUCAGUGGGUAACUUUAUAAAGCAGAUGUGAAAAAUAAAGCUCCUCUAAAACGAAAGUACACUGCAAGAAAGAACCACAGCUCAUGUCAAAAUAGGAUGAGCUUGUAGGUGUUGCUAUUCAUUACAUUCUAGAUGAGAAAUAGUUUAUUGUACCACAGCUCUGUCAGUUUUGUCUGAGCUUUAAAUGGAUCAGCCUUUUCAUGCUAGAAGCAUUCUGGUUUUCAAACCUGUAUAAUAAUCCUAAGGCAACAUUUCCUGCCCUUAAGUGAACUGUAACAUGAUAUUUUCAUUUUGUGCAUUUCCUCUACUUGUACAUUAAUUACACACACUGCACAAUAAGUAGUUGUUUUACUUCAGCUCAGCCAAAAAGUGUGUAAUCCGACAUGAAUCAUGUUCAUGCUGUGUGUCCCAAUUAGAGAAAUCGUAGGGAGCCGCCUGGUGCAAUGUUACCAUGUCACCAAGCUUUACUGUAGCAAGGAAAUUUAAAUCUGCCCUUUUCUAAAAAAUCUGGCUUACAUAAGGAACGAUCUAUCUCCUUCCAAAUCACUCUAAAAACAAAACUUGUCUUUAAUUCAACAUAUUGUCCUCAUAUGGUUGUGAUUUCCAAAAGGAUAACAGCAAACGAAACUUGGCUCUGCAACACACCAGUGUGAACGAUGUUUGCACAGUCUGGGUGAGAGAGAGUGUGCAUGUGUGUGUCCAUCUGUCAUAACUUGUUCAUCGCAGUUCUUUUGCUUAUUGAUUUUCUCAACAUAUCUCUUUGAGUUUUGUGUUCUGUCUCUUUCCGACUCCCUUGCCACUGAUCGAACUGAUGUCCCUCCUGACCUCUCCUCGGCUGCUCUUUUUAGACACUAACAGACAGCUGCUCCUCUGUUUGUUUUGUGUUCGUAGAGGCAAAAUGAUCCCAGCUCUGUAACAUAAGGAAAUGCCACUUAUCUGUCUGUGUUUGCUGUCUGUGAAUCUGCUGCAUUCUAUGCUGACACACAUUUUAUCUUAAAAUGUUAAAAAGAAAAAUCACCCACUUUAGAUUAGUCCAGAAUCAAAGCUAAUUCUGUGCCUGUUUAUUAACACAUUGGGCGGCCAAUAUCUGAUAUGCUGUAGUAAACAGAUCUGCAUCGACGGCAGACACUCUCUUACAUAAGUGAUUUAUUGUCUAGCUCCUAAAUGUUCCGCUCUAACUAAAUGAUUCACUCGUAUGUUGUCUUGAUACUCCCUAAACAAUGUGAUGAGUCAAAUUAAGACUCAAUUAUCUGAAUUAUCAAUGUAGAAAAUGUGACAAUCUUGUGUCAGCUUUAAACACCCUUCUCAGAGCUUGGCAUUUCUGUCACGAUCACGGGCUUUGUAAUUAAAUGGGUUUUGUCUGCUCA